Molecule: long non-coding RNA, 2028 nt
Organism: Oncorhynchus gorbuscha (pink salmon)
Lineage: Eukaryota; Metazoa; Chordata; Actinopteri; Salmoniformes; Salmonidae
Exons: 2
Source: RefSeq, a predicted model, not a curated record
CCUGGAGUGCCUCAGGUACUGCAGGAUUCUAUCCCAACUGGGCACCACACAGAGCUACUUAGUUAAUUGAUCCGUUUAGUGAUUGCCUAAAUUCAACACACCUGGUCCUCUAGGUCGGUUAAAUAAAAAACAGGACCACGGUUGCUUAACCCUGACAUAGUAGGUGGACAGCAUACUACCACUACCAUGCGCCAUCCCCAACCGAGUCAGGUCCUGUGCUCUGCCAGGAAGCCUUGAUAAGCACACAGGUGUGGGCAAUUGAGAUUAUUGUCAAUCAGAGAAAGGUGGCCACAAGCCUCGGCCUGGCAGUGUUUGUUUUGUGUUAGCUUUAGUUUUGGGUCAUGCCCUCUUUGUACUCAGCCCAUGUAGCUAGGCCUAGGACACCUAGACAUAGCGUGUGCAACAAUAUCAGUAGGGUAGCUAGCUGGUAUCGUAACAUCCCUUGUGUAGUGAUGAGCAAUGAGUGUAAUGUGUGUAAUGAGUGUGUAGUCUUAAAACAUUUAGGGGCUGGUUUCCCGGACACAGAUUAAGCCUAGUACUUGGGACGACAAAUAUACCAGGACUAACAGAAAACCAUUGUAACUUCAGUCCAGUCCUGCUCCAGCCAGCCCCCAUCGUCCUCAGCGAAAUGUUGUUUCUGUGUGGGAGCAGCUCCCUAAUAUGGGUCAUCUGAAUAACAAGUCACUUUCCAGAGAAGAGCUGCACUGUGUUGACUUCCCAUCUGCAUUGUGUACAAUCUGUUCUCGUUAAGGCUGAAUAUGACAAGAGAUACAAGAGAGUUCCGGGAAUGUGAAGGAAAGACCAUUAGAGAGGGAGGAAGAAAGAGGAAGGGAGAGUGAGAGGGAAGGAGUCUGAGAGAGAUGGGAUAGAAUGCCAGCAUCUUGUGAAGCUCUCUCUCUGUUUACACAGUCUAACAGACAGACUAUCCCCUGAAGAACUGGGGGAGGUGGGGAGUGAGAAAGAAAGAAAACAAGAGGCUAGAAUGGCUACAGUCUUCUUUGGCUCUGAAUCUGGUACCCCGUAAUUGAGUUUAGUUUCUGAAUGUCAGGUAUCCAUCCGCACUCCUUCUUGCACAAUCCCAACAUCUGCUGUCAACUUUAUAGAGGAAACUCAGACUGAAUGGUGAUGAGGCCGGUAACUAACUGUCCCUUUUGCCUACCUUCCUGCUGUGGAGAGCACAAAUGAAGAGUCAAAACAGCCAUCAGUGGUUGUUGUUGUCGUUUCCGACAAGAGAACCAAUCUGUCAUCUCCUAGACCGUAGGCUCCUGUUGCUGGCGGGGCCGGAAGCUGAGAAUAGAACUACAGGGAAUGCCAUCCUAGGUGAGGAGGUCUUCCAGACUGGGACAGAGACUGUCCACAGCACCGUUGGCCACGGGGAGGUCUAUGGAAGGCGGAUCACCGUAGUUGACACCCCACCCUGGAUUACACCCUGUGACUCAGCAGAUAAUGCUACUGAUGUGGUCGGACGCAAGGUCAACAUAUAGUAGACACCCCCAACUGGGACUGGGUUUCUGUGAGGAGCAUAAUGAAGCAAGGGGCCGACUUCCUCCAGCCCAGCCGCCAUAUAACCACCACAGGUUCUAGGAUAGGGCAGGGUCAGAGACCUGAACUGGGUACCGGUAUGGAAAACACACUUGAGCUCCACAGUUUGGACCUGCUUGUACAAAAUAGAGGAAAUUCAGACUGAAUGUUGAUGAGGCCUUCUUGCUCGUACACAGAGAUUAUGGGUCAGCCAUCGUAGAACAGAACUCCUGGAGCAUAUGAGGGUUAAGUGCUUUGAUCAAAGGCACAUCGACAAAACAUCCGUGUGUUGUCGAAUCCUAAUGCAGCCGGAGAGAGAGACAGUUCUGACAUAUGGAAUUGGUUUAAGAUGGUCACACUAUGGAUUAUUUCGCUAUUUAAUUUAGAAUUUUAAGACCCUUUCAGAUAUAAAAAAAAGAUGUACUUUUUUUUGGUUUAUAAAGAGAAACGCAUUGAAUAACACAUUCAUAAAUGGCAAAAAAAGACAGUAAAAAGCAAUGUUUUGAA